This 631-nucleotide ribosomal RNA is filed under the name uncultured Actinomycetes bacterium. Its description in RNAcentral is "bacterial SSU rRNA". It matches the Rfam family "Bacterial small subunit ribosomal RNA", at positions 232 to 873 of the family's 1533-position model. The record is from RNAcentral. Lineage: Bacteria; Bacillati; Actinomycetota; Actinomycetes.
CGCGGCCUAUCAGCUUGUUGGUGGGGUAGUGGCUUACCAAGGCUUUGACGGGUAGCCGGCCUGAGAGGGUGACCGGCCACAUUGGGACUGAGAUACGGCCCAGACUCCUACGGGAGGCAGCAGUGGGGAAUAUUGCACAAUGGGCGGAAGCCUGAUGCAGCAACGCCGCGUGCGGGAUGACGGCCUUCGGGUUGUAAACCGCUUUCGCCUGUGACGAAGCGUGAGUGACGGUAAUGGGCAAAGAAGCACCGGCUAACUACGUGCCAGCAGCCGCGGUGAUACGUAGGGUGCGAGCGUUGUCCGGAUUUAUUGGGCGUAAAGGGCUCGUAGGUGGUUGAUCGCGUCGGAAGUGUAAUCUUGGGGCUUAACCCUGAGCGUGCUUUCGAUACGGGUUGACUUGAGGAAGGUAGGGGAGAAUGGAAUUCCUGGUGGAGCGGUGGAAUGCGCAGAUAUCAGGAGGAACACCAGUGGCGAAGGCGGUUCUCUGGGCCUUUCCUGACGCUGAGGAGCGAAAGCGUGGGGAGCGAACAGGCUUAGAUACCCUGGUAGUCCACGCUGUAAACGGUGGGUACUAGGUGUGGGGUCCAUUCCACGGGUUCCGUGCCGUAGCUAACGCUUUAAGUACCCCGCC